This 506-nucleotide ribosomal RNA is filed under the name uncultured bacterium. RNAcentral's name for it is "partial 16S ribosomal RNA". It matches the Rfam family "Bacterial small subunit ribosomal RNA", at positions 28 to 523 of the family's 1533-position model. The record is from RNAcentral.
GAUGAACGCUAGCUACAGGCUUAACACAUGCAAGUCGAGGGGUAACGAGAGGAAAGCUUGCUUUCCUCGUCGACGACCGGCGCACGGGUGAGUAACGCGUAUCCAACCUGCCCCCAACUAAGGAAUAACCUUGCGAAAGUAAGACUAAUACCUUAUAAUUUCCUCAGAUGUCAUCUGACGAGGAAUAAAGAUUUAUCGGUUGUGGAUGGGGAUGCGUCUGGUUAGCUUGUUGGCGGGGUAACGGCCCACCAAGGCAACGAUCAGUAGGGGUUCUGAGAGGAAGGUCCCCCACAUUGGAACUGAGACACGGUCCAAACUCCUACGGGAGGCAGCAGUGAGGAAUAUUGGUCAAUGGGCGAAAGCCUGAACCAGCCAAGUAGCGUGCAGGAUGACGGCCCUAUGGGUUGUAAACUGCUUUUAUACAGGAAUAAAGUUAGCCACGUGUGGUUAUUUGUAGGUACUGUAUGAAUAAGGACCGGCUAAUUCCGUGCCAGCCGCCGCGGUAA